RNAcentral lists this RNase P RNA (330 nucleotides) under human gut metagenome. RNAcentral's name for it is "Bacterial RNase P class A". It matches the Rfam family "Bacterial RNase P class A". Rfam says of the family: Ribonuclease P (RNase P) is a ubiquitous endoribonuclease, found in archaea, bacteria and eukarya as well as chloroplasts and mitochondria. Its best characterised activity is the generation of mature 5'-ends of tRNAs by cleaving the 5'-leader elements of precursor-tRNAs. Cellular RNase Ps are ribonucleoproteins. The record is from RNAcentral.
AGUGAGCCGGACAGCCGCGUGCGCCCUUGCGGCGUAUGAGGAAAGUCCGAGCAUCACAGGGCGGGAUAACGGCUAACGGCCGCCGGGGGCGACCCUAGGGAAAGUGCAACAGAGAUAUACCGCCGCUUUAUGCGGUAAGGGUGGAAAGGCGAGGUAAGAGCUCACCGGCGCGCAGGAGACUGCGCGGCCCUGCAAACCCUAUCCGAUGCAACGCCGACUGGAGCGAUACAUUGGCCCGAUGUGCUCCGAAAGGCGGCUUGAGCCGUCUGGCAACAGACGGUCGAGACAGAUGGUUGUCCAAGACAGAACUCGGCUUACAGACUCACUCGC